RNAcentral lists this ribosomal RNA (466 nucleotides) under uncultured bacterium. Its description in RNAcentral is "partial 16S ribosomal RNA". It matches the Rfam family "Bacterial small subunit ribosomal RNA", at positions 28 to 507 of the family's 1533-position model. The record is from RNAcentral.
GAUGAACGCUGGCGACGUGCUUAACACAUGCAAGUCGAACGAUAAAGCCCAGCUUGCUGGGUGGAUUAGAGGCGCACGGGUGAGUCACGCGUGAGUAACCUGCCCUUCAUUCUGGGAUAAGCCUUGGUAACUGGGUCUAUUACCGGAUAGGAUCGUCCACCGAAUGGAGGGAUUUGGACAGAUUUAUCGGUUUUGGAUGGACUCGCGGCCUAGCAGCUUGUUGGUGAGGUAAGGGGUCAACAAGGCGCCGGCGGGUAGCCGGCCUGAGAGGGUGACCGGCCCCAACGGGACUGGGACACGGCCCAGAAUCCUACGGGAGGGAGCAGUGGGGAAUAUUGCAACAUGGGCGCAAGCCUGUGGCAGCGACGUCCCGUGAGGGAUGACGGCCUUCUGGUUGUAAACCGCUUUCAGUAUGGAAGAAGAGAAAGUGACGGUACCUGCAGAAGAAGCACCGGCUAACUACGUG